This 654-nucleotide ribosomal RNA is filed under the name uncultured bacterium. RNAcentral's name for it is "bacterial SSU rRNA". It matches the Rfam family "Bacterial small subunit ribosomal RNA", at positions 202 to 842 of the family's 1533-position model. The record is from RNAcentral.
GAAAGAUGGCUUUGGCUAUCACUCUGGGAUGGACCUGCGGUGCACUAGCUAGUUGGUAAGGUAACGGCUUACCAAGGCGAUGAUGCAUAGCCGAGUUGAGAGACUGAUCGGCCACAAUGGAACUGAGACACGGUCCAUACUCCUACGGGAGGCAGCAGUAGGGAAUCUUCCACAAUGGGCGCAAGCCUGAUGGAGCAACACCGCGUGAGUGAAGAAGGGUUUCGGCUCGUAAAGCUCUGUUGUUGGAGAAGAACGUGCGUGAGAGUAACUGUUCACGCAGUGACGGUAUCCAACCAGAAAGUCACGUCUAACUACGUGCCAGCAGCCGCGGUAAUACGUAGGUGGCAAGCGUUAUCCGGAUUUAUUGGGCGUAAAGCGAGCGCAGGCGGUUGCUUAGGUCUGAUGUGAAAGCCUUCGGCUUAACCGAAGAAGUGCAUCGGAAACCGGGCGACUUGAGUGCAGAAGAGGACAGUGGAACUCCAUGUGUAGCGGUGGAAUGCGUAGAUAUAUGGAAGAACACCAGUGGCGAAGGCGGCUGUCUGGUCUGCAACUGACGCUGAGGCUCGAAAGCAUGGGUAGCGAACAGGAUUAGAUACCCUGGUAGUCCAUGCCGUAAACGAUGAGUGCUAGGUGUUGGAGGGUUUCCGCCCUUCA